ACCUCCUCACUCCCAUAACNUGUUGUGGAAGUGGAACUGGCAGUCUUAGCCUAGUAGCAUCUUGNUAUUGCUAGGUCUGCUGAAGUGCAGAGGCUUGAGCAUGGACCCAAUCAAGGGCAACAACUUAGUGGGCAUGUCUUCGGACUGCAUGAUCUUAGUUGGUGCCUGGGACGUGCUGGGGGCCGUGUGCAGGAUCCGAUUCACUUCGGAACUUAACUUACUUUUCGACC
Molecule: ribosomal RNA, 230 nt
Filed under: Oedogonium sp. JCU1
Lineage: Eukaryota; Viridiplantae; Chlorophyta; Chlorophyceae; Oedogoniales; Oedogoniaceae
Description: 5.8S ribosomal RNA
Source: RNAcentral